RNAcentral lists this ribosomal RNA (301 nucleotides) under uncultured bacterium. RNAcentral's name for it is "partial 16S ribosomal RNA". It matches the Rfam family "Bacterial small subunit ribosomal RNA", at positions 509 to 809 of the family's 1533-position model. The record is from RNAcentral.
CAGUCGCCACGGUAAAACAGAGGGUGCGAGCGUUAAUCGGAUUUACUGGGCGUAAAGCGUGCGUAGGCGGCUUCUUAAGUCGGAUGUGAAAUCCCUGAGCUUAACUUAGGAAUUGCAUUCGAUACUGGGAAGCUAGAGUAUGGGAGAGGAUGGUAGAAUUCCAGGUGUAGCGGUGAAAUGCGUAGAGAUCUGGAGGAAUACCGAUGGCGAAGGCAGCCAUCUGGCCUAAUACUGACGCUGAGGUACGAAAGCAUGGGGAGCAAACAGGAUUAGAUACCCCCGUAGUCCCUGUCUCUUAUAA